UACAGAGGUGCCGAGCGUUAGGCGGAAUCACUGGGCUUAAAGCGCGCGUAGGCGGACGUUUAAGUGUACUUCGGUGAAAUCCCGACGGCUUCAACCGUGGAACUGCUGGGCAUACUGGACGUCUCGGAGGCGACUCAGGGGCGAGCGGAAACAAGUGGUGGAGCGGUGAAAUGCGUAGAUAUCACUUGGAACGCCAAUCGGUGGAAGACAGCUCGCUGGGGGGUGUCCUGACGCUGGAGGCGACGAAAGCCAGGGGACGCGAAACGGG
RNAcentral lists this ribosomal RNA (268 nucleotides) under uncultured bacterium. Its description in RNAcentral is "partial 16S ribosomal RNA". It matches the Rfam family "Bacterial small subunit ribosomal RNA", at positions 524 to 776 of the family's 1533-position model. The record is from RNAcentral.